This 253-nucleotide ribosomal RNA is filed under the name uncultured bacterium. RNAcentral describes it as "partial 16S ribosomal RNA". It matches the Rfam family "Bacterial small subunit ribosomal RNA", at positions 524 to 776 of the family's 1533-position model. The record is from RNAcentral.
UACGGAGGGUGCAAGCGUUAUCCGGAUUUACUGGGUUUAAAGGGUGCGUAGGCGGACUAUUAAGUCAAAUGUGAAAGCUCGCAGCUUAACUGUAAGAUUGCGUUUGAUACUGGUAAUCUUGAAUAUGGUAGAAGUUGGCGGAAUAAAUCAUGUAGCGGUGAAAUGCUUAGAUAUGAUUUAGAACACCGAUUGCGAAGGCAGCUAGCUAUGUCAUAAUUGACGCUGAGGCACGAAAGCGUGGGGAUCAAACAGG